RNAcentral lists this long non-coding RNA (669 nucleotides) under Gouania willdenowi (blunt-snouted clingfish). RNAcentral describes it as "lncRNA (ENSGWIG00000000945.1)". Lineage: Eukaryota; Metazoa; Chordata; Actinopteri; Blenniiformes; Gobiesocidae. The record is from RNAcentral.
AUUUCCCAACAGCAUAUAAUACAUUGUUUGGUUCUAAGAUAAUCUUUUAAGACAACCACAGGAAGACAACACCCUAUGAUGUCUUUGGGCAAGCUUUAUUAUAAUAUCAGUAGGUGAUUCUAUGUGUUUCCUCACCUUAUUGUCUGUGGUUGAAGCAUUCACUAAUAAUUGUACUUUCCCAAUCAUACAUCACACCCAUAUUUCUAUAAAAACCCAGUUUACCAGAGCAACCCCACAAUCUUCUUGUUCAUCUGAGCUGAGACACUCUGCUAAAGGCAAACAGUAAGUAUGAUGCUUUUUUUACUCUGCAUGUUUGCUGUGAAACAACUUUUCAUAUGAUUGUUUGUUCAGCAGAUCACCAUGACCAUGCUGAAGGUAGCCGUUCUCCUCGUGUGCAUCAUGAGUGUCACUCUGGCCAAACCUACUGGACCCAAAAGAGUUGCACGUUCAAAUUCCGCCCCUGAUACAAACUCUGAUGAGCUGUAUUUCCUGCAGGCAACUCCUACUGCAGCAGGAGCCACUACCACCCCUGCACUCAAUCUUGGUCAACUUAAUACUGCCCAACUUCUCCAGAUUUUACUUCCACUGCUACAGGGCUGAGAACGACUGCUUCUCCAUAUGAUCCAUCUGCUACACAUCUUGCAAUAAUAAACAAAUAAACCAGAAGCA